CGCCUUCGCUAGGGGUCCUGGAACGGCAGUUCCGGGUGAGAGAUACCCUUCGUACCUGAUCUGGAUAAUGCCAGCGAAGGAAAGCGCAACGCAGUUCCC
Molecule: non-coding RNA, 99 nt
Filed under: Massilia sp.
Lineage: Bacteria; Pseudomonadati; Pseudomonadota; Betaproteobacteria; Burkholderiales; Oxalobacteraceae
Also listed under: 1 other name
Description: TPP sequence
Rfam family: TPP riboswitch aptamer (THI element)
About the family: Vitamin B(1) in its active form thiamin pyrophosphate (TPP) is an essential coenzyme that is synthesised by coupling of pyrimidine and thiazole moieties in bacteria. The previously detected thiamin-regulatory element, thi box was extended, resulting in a new, highly conserved RNA secondary structure, the THI element, which is widely distributed in eubacteria and also occurs in some archaea.
Source: RNAcentral